UACCAGCUCCCUGAGUGGUAAGGACGAUUAUUUGGCCUAAAGCGUCCGUAGCCGGCUUAUCAAGUCUCUUGUUAAACCCAAUGAUUCAAUCAUUGAUCUGCAAGAGAUACUGUUAUGCUAGAGGACGGGAGAGGUCGACGGUAGUCCAGGGGUAGGGGUGAAAUCCUAUAAUCCUUGGAGGACCACCAGUGGCGAAGGCGGUCGACUAGAACGUGCCUGACGGUGAGGGACGAAAGCAGGGGGAGCGAACCGGAUUAGAUACCCGGGUAGUCCCAGCUGUAAACGAUGCGGGCUAGGUGUCGUGGUAGCUACGAGCUACUCCAGUGCCGCAGAGAAGUUGUUAAGCCCGCCGCCUGGGGAGUACGGCCGCAAGGCUGAAACUUAAAGGAAUUGGCGGGGGAGCACCACAAGGGGUGAAGGCUGCGGUUU
RNAcentral lists this ribosomal RNA (429 nucleotides) under uncultured archaeon. RNAcentral's name for it is "bacterial SSU rRNA". It matches the Rfam family "Archaeal small subunit ribosomal RNA", at positions 474 to 903 of the family's 1478-position model. The record is from RNAcentral.